UUGCUUCUGCAACUGAGGAUGUCAGUCAGAGGACUAGUCUGUGUCUGCAUUUUGGUACACUCGGUAGAUCACGACAGAACGAUCUGGCUGCCAUGGACCCAGCAGGUUCAGAUGACCUCUGCCAAGCCACAGACGAACACCACAAAGCCCUGGCCUUACAGGGAACCCAUCUCAUGGGUUUGGCUCACUACUCCAGGGCCAACUGCAUUUCUCUCCAGCAGAAGCAAGCCGGGCUGAAGAGCGCAAGGAUCUUGUAGAAUCCCAC
This is a long non-coding RNA of Lampris incognitus (smalleye Pacific opah), 265 nucleotides long. RefSeq lists it as uncharacterized. The record is from RefSeq and is a predicted model, not a curated record. The transcript has 3 exons. Lineage: Eukaryota; Metazoa; Chordata; Actinopteri; Lampriformes; Lampridae.